Long non-coding RNA from Cyclopterus lumpus (lumpfish), 1889 nucleotides. The record is from Ensembl. Lineage: Eukaryota; Metazoa; Chordata; Actinopteri; Perciformes; Cyclopteridae.
CAGGGAGCAACAGGACGUCAUUCAGGGACUCCCCUAAGUCGAUCAUCUUGAGCUCAGAGAAGGACAAGAGGAAGGAUUCUCCUCUCACUGUGGACGUCCCAGAGUUGAGCAGACCUCCUUCCUCACCUGGAAGAGUACGAGCCAUGGCCAGAAACUUCUCCCGUCACGGCUGCUUUUACUCUGAUGACGAACAGGGCUCAGAGGCUCUAUUAGAAAGAGCCAGCUUCUAUUCAGACAACACUGAGAAAAAACCUAGCGAUUCUCUCAGGAGAUAUCGCAUGCCAGGCCACACUGAAGAUCUCAUCCCAAGUUUGGGGAGGAGAACAGAGUUGCUGAGUAGAGACAGAGACAGACAACACCAUUCAAACUACCAGCCUAUGGAGAGUCAGCUGACUAAUAACAGCACCUUGGUCUCCCAGCUUGACAGCGAGUUGGAGGGUGGUAGUAUUAACAAGUGUGUCCAACUAGCAAAAGAGAGGGAAGAAAUGGAGAGGGAGCUGGAGAGCUAUACAGCCGAUCAAAAAAGUCGAGGUCGUGGGAGAGACGAGGGACAGUAUAGUAAGACAAAAAGCCCUCAAAGGGACACACCCAAUGCAGAGAAAGAGCCUAUAUGGAAGCCACAGGAUGUAGCAAUAAGACAGAAACACAGGCCCUCAGGUCAGACAAGUCGGGUAUCUGACUAUCGAAAGGCGUGCUACUUUGGGAACACCAGCAGUCCCAUGGACCGACUCCCUACGUCGUGCAUACAGUGGGACAUUAGUCCUGUUACAUCAGUCACCAGCCUCCUUCCUGCACAGAGCUCCCAGGAGACCACAUCGCCCAGAUCACAGCAUGCUCGCACGCGUCGAGAAACCACAGAGGACUCUCUUGCUGUUGAUCCAUCACGCUCUCCAGUCACUCAGAACACCUCCCUCCCCAUGCUGUCCCCUGACCUAACCUCUGACACUCCCCCUGUUCUGUGUCUAGAAACACCAGACAGAGCCAGGUCAUUUAGUCCUCUGAGAGAGCAGGAUAGAUGCAGGAAGUCCAUGACUGAGCAGGGCUUACGGGAAAAGACACAAGACAAAGGUGUUGCUUCAAGGUCCAGACAUUCAUAUGCAGGCGCUCAGCCCUGGGGUUCAGCUGCCAGAGGUCCUUCAGUUGAGAGUGAGAGGCCUGAAAGUUCAGCCUCUGCACAAUAUAAUCAGCCUGAAAGAACUACAAAAUACUACACAGCCACAAGGGAUCCCAGUCCAUCAAGUUAUUCUACCUUACCCUAUGAACAUCAUGAAGUAGGGGCAAAGGCCAAAGAAAAAGAGGCCCGAGAUGACCGCCGAAGUUCAGGGUUUUACUCUGAGUUAGAAAGAGAGGGUGUGCGAACACGCUCCAGGAGAAGUGACAAAUGUCUCUUCUCUGAUAGUCCAAGCCCUGUUUCAACAUUGACACUUGUAGAAGAGGUGGAUAGUGACCAGUCCCAAUUUUCUGUCCCUGGAAUGUCAGGGUCCUUCAAGGCAAAGCCUGCCACUCCAUCUCCCCAGAUGUCCCCACUGCAGACAAGUGCAAUUCUUGAAUACCUGAGCCUUCCCGGUUUCAUUGAAAUGAGCGUUGAUGAGCCUGUGGAAGAUGCUGCAGUGACAGACACUGCUGGACAAAGUUCAGAACUAAAGCCACAUAAAUCCCCAGUGGUUAAGCCUGAUGUAGUUCCUAAAAACUGGGAGGUUCAUGGUCAGGACAACCGGAACACACACUCAACCCCCCAUUCUGCAGAAGCCAGCUUUUAUUCUGGUAAAAAACAAAGCCAUAAACACCAUGUGGAAGCUAAAGAUUCUACACAUAGAGUAAGAUUUCCAGAUGACACAACUCCAUCGUCACCUGGUCCAGAGAAAACUAGCAAGCAGCUAUAUAAUGAG